GGUAAUGUAGCUCAAUAAUAGAGCAAUUGCUUUGCAAGCACUAGGCCUUGAGUUUGAUCUCUAACAUUGCAA
Molecule: transfer RNA, 72 nt
Filed under: Cavia porcellus (domestic guinea pig)
Lineage: Eukaryota; Metazoa; Chordata; Mammalia; Rodentia; Caviidae
Rfam family: tRNA
About the family: Transfer RNA (tRNA) molecules are approximately 80 nucleotides in length.
Source: Rfam by way of RNAcentral